This 273-nucleotide unclassified non-coding RNA is filed under the name Hevea brasiliensis (rubber tree). The record is from RNAcentral. Lineage: Eukaryota; Viridiplantae; Streptophyta; Magnoliopsida; Malpighiales; Euphorbiaceae.
UGGACCCAAAUACACCUCCAAGCAACCGAAUUUACAAAACUAUCCUACAAACGCUACAGCCUAUGGUAUGCCUCUCUGUCACAAUCACUUCCUUGCCUUCCUAGCUGAAGCCCUCUUCGCCGGCGACUUUACGCUCUUCGGUUUCACGCUUUUAGCAGGCGUCUUCUUUGCAACAGGAGCCUUUUUCGGCGCCGCCUUGGAAGCCGCAGGCUUCUUCCCUGGAUUAGUCCUUGUCGAUGUUCUGGCCGCCUUAGCCGGUCUCUCCUUAGCUUU